CAGAGCAGCAGCCAUAGCAGCUGCAUCCGGUUUCCAGUUGAGCGAGAGACAGCUGUUCUGAGGCAGUAUGCAAUGUCCCACAUCUGAGGACUUGGCAGCGUGAGCCUUGGGACACUGAGGAGAUGGGGAGAGGCCCCUGGAGCUUGCUGGCCUGCCUGUUCAGCCUAGGUGGCAAGUCCCAGGACUCACUGACAGACUUUGCUCCAAAACACCGAAUGAGUGACUUCUGAAGAAUGACGCCUGAGCUGACUCCUGGCUUCCACAGAUAGGCACAUCUGUAACAUAUGACUGGGAGGAAGAUGUGGUCUCGUCCCCACUGAUGUGGUGUGAGCUGGAGAAAUUUGGCUGCUCACCAGAUGGGGUGUUCUGAAAGAAAGCUUCUUAGCACUUGGAUGCCACUGAAGAGCUAGCCAACUUUGAUUGACAGCUGGCAACCAUUGCUAGGUGAACCUAGCAAUCACAGCCAACAUUUUGUGGAAAGUUGCUACGUAAAAUUGAACUUUGAACACACUGCAUCUUUGGAGCUGGUUCAUGAAGACAGGAGCUCCCUGAUUCGGUCCAUUCCUUUGUGUUCGCCUGCCCGUGUGUGAAGAGGACAUAAUUACACCUGCUCCUCAUUUGCCUCAGAGGAAUGUUACAGAAAUACAUUUCAAGAGCCCAUGAAGUCCCCAGAGCAUGGAGAAGUCUAAUUACAAGAAAACACAUUGUCGCCAGAACAGUUCUGCAAAUUCUGUCAAAGGACAGAAACGUCCGUUUCCUGAAAAUUGCUAAAAUAGCAUCAGCAGUGUGGAACAGCAAGGGAAAGCACAGUGACCAUGUGCAAACCGGAAGUGCAGCGUGGGAUGGUUUCUGCUUCCUGUAGCACUCCAGAACCACAGGCAUCUGUGCGCUGUCUUCCCCAGACCAGCCUUCAGCAACCUGGAAACCUAGUAGAAAUGCAAAGCAGAAACGGAUGCAAGCAAUGAUGGCUGGAUUGUCACAAUCACCUUGGACCAUGACAACAAGUAUUUAGUCCAGAUCUGAUAGAACAAAAAGCUACAAUGAGCUUAGAGCUUAGGUCCCUGGUGACUGCAGGAACCUGCACCCUGAGCUUUGGACUACCCACCCCCCAAUGGGUGACAGAAUAAAACCCGGGUGUUUAAUUUA
Long non-coding RNA from Psammomys obesus (fat sand rat), 1146 nucleotides. RefSeq lists it as uncharacterized. The record is from RefSeq and is a predicted model, not a curated record. The transcript has 7 exons. Lineage: Eukaryota; Metazoa; Chordata; Mammalia; Rodentia; Muridae.